GGGGAUUUAGCUCAGUGGUAGAGCGCUUGCCUAGCAAGCACAAGGCUCUGGGUUCAGUCCCCA
Rattus norvegicus (Norway rat) is the source of this 63-nucleotide non-coding RNA. The record is from Rfam. Lineage: Eukaryota; Metazoa; Chordata; Mammalia; Rodentia; Muridae.